This 465-nucleotide ribosomal RNA is filed under the name uncultured bacterium. Its description in RNAcentral is "partial 16S ribosomal RNA". It matches the Rfam family "Bacterial small subunit ribosomal RNA", at positions 338 to 795 of the family's 1533-position model. The record is from RNAcentral.
CCUACGAGAGGCAGCAGUAGGGACUCUUCCACAAUGGACGAAAGUCUGAUGGAGCAACGCCGCGUGGGUGAAGAAGGGUUUCGGCUCGUAACGCUCUGUUGGUAGUGAAGAAAGAUAGAGGUAGUAACUGGCCUUUAUUUGACGGUAAUUACUUAGAAAGUCACGGCUAACUACGUGCCAGCAGCCGCGGUAAUACGUAGGUGGCAAGCGUUGUCCGGAUUUAGUGGGCGUAAAGCGAGUGCAGGCGGUUCAAUAAGUCUGAUGUGAAAGCCUUCGGCUCAACCGGAGAAUUGCAUCAGAAACUGUUGAACUUGAGUGCAGAAGAGGAGAGUGGAACUCCAUGUGUAGCGGUGGAAUGCGUAGAUAUAUGGAAGAACACCAGUGGCGAAGGCGGCUCUCUGGUCUGCAACUGACGCUGAGGCUCGAAAGCAUGGGUAGCAAACAGGAUUAGAUACCCGAGUAGUC